RNAcentral lists this non-coding RNA (31 nucleotides) under Homo sapiens (human). The record is from RNAcentral. Lineage: Eukaryota; Metazoa; Chordata; Mammalia; Primates; Hominidae.
AUGCUAGAGCCUGCAGAAUGUGGCUUCAUCC